ACGAAGGGGGCUAGCGUUGUUCGGAUUUACUGGGCGUAAAGCGCACGUAGGCGGACUAUUAAGUCAGGGGUGAAAUCCCGGGGCUCAACCCCGGAACUGCCUUUGAUACUGGUAGUCUUGAGUUCGAGAGAGGUGAGUGGAAUUCCGAGUGUAUCGGUGAAAUACGUAGAUAUGCGGAGGAACAGCAAGGGCGCAGGCAGCUCACUGGCUCGAUACUUACGCUGAGGUGACAAAGCGUUUGGAACAAACAG
This 251-nucleotide ribosomal RNA is filed under the name uncultured prokaryote. Its description in RNAcentral is "partial 16S rRNA". It matches the Rfam family "Bacterial small subunit ribosomal RNA", at positions 525 to 775 of the family's 1533-position model. The record is from RNAcentral.